Molecule: ribosomal RNA, 738 nt
Filed under: Triops cancriformis
Lineage: Eukaryota; Metazoa; Arthropoda; Branchiopoda; Notostraca; Triopsidae
Description: eukaryotic LSU rRNA
Rfam family: Eukaryotic large subunit ribosomal RNA
Source: RNAcentral
GAAAGGGAAUCCGGUUCUAAUUCCGGAACCCGGUUGCGGAUACGUCCGAGCUCUCGUAGCUCGUCAUGGUAACAUGACAUGACCCGGAGAAGCUGGCGGGGACCCCGGGAAGAGUUUUCUUUUCUGCUUGAGGGGUCGAGACCUUGGAAUUCUGUCGUGGAGCGAUAGGGUUUUGACCCCGAAGAGCGCCGCAGGUCUGCGGCGUCCGUGGGUUCUUGCCGGCCCUUGAAAAUCCGGGGGAGGGCCACGUGGACUUUCCAACCGGACCGUACCGAUAUCCGCAUCAGGUCUCCAAGGUGAACAGCCUCUAGUCGAUAGAUGAAUGUAGGUAAGGGAAAUCGGCAAAUUGGAUCCGUAACCUCGGGAUAAGGAUUGGCUCUGAGGGUCGAGGUGGUCGGGCUUGGACGCGAAGCCGGUAGUGCCCACGUGCUGGGCCUGGGCGAGGCCGUUAACGCGGUCGAACCCGGUCCCUAGCCUAAGCCACCGGGGGAACGUCCUCGCAGUAGGGCAGGAUAGUUUGGGCUUGACCCAUUCAUGCCUCCCUCUCGGCUGCCAAUGAACGACCAACUCAGAACUGGCACGAUCCAGGGGAAUCCGACUGUCUAAUUAAAACAAAGCAUUGCGAUGGCCGUAAGAGGGUGGUGACGCAAUGUGAUUUCUGCCCAGUGCUCUGAAUGUCAAAGUGAAGAAAUUCAACGAAGCGCGGGUAAACGGCGGGAGUAACUAUGACUCUCUUAA